AUGCUUUCUGAGGUUAAGGCUCGCGAAGAGACAUAUUACGGCGAAGAGGACGAGAGGGAGGCUAAUCUGCAAAUUCGGGAGGAGAUUCUCAAUGCUCGAGAGGAGACCCUCUUCAAACUGGAAAAAACCCUCCGAACUCGUGAAGAAGCUUUGUCCCCUCGCGAGUCUAAGCUAGACUGCCGCAAGGGUGAGAUGCUGGCCAAGGAGGAGGAUCUGGAAAAGUCUCUGACAGAGUUGACCCUGGAGCGUGAGCGUCUUGAGGCUCGAGAGUGUGCGGUUGGGAGCUCUUGGUGUGCGGGAGGAGCGCGUCUCUGCGCUUGA
Molecule: ribosomal RNA, 321 nt
Filed under: Triticum aestivum (bread wheat)
Lineage: Eukaryota; Viridiplantae; Streptophyta; Magnoliopsida; Poales; Poaceae
Description: partial small subunit ribosomal RNA
Source: RNAcentral